CACAAGGUCUUGGUCUUAAACCCCCUAUUAUUUAUUACCCUAAUUAUACAUGCAAGCCUCACCAUAACAGUGAAAUAGCCACUAUCAACUAACCUGAGCAGGUAUCAGACACCACACCCAUAACACCAAGCAAACAGCCACACCCCCACGGGCCCGCAGCAGUAGUUAACAUUAGGCAAUAAGCGAAAGCUUGACCUAGCAAGGGAUAUUACUUAGGGCCGGUUAAUACCCGUGCCAGCGACCGCGGUUACACGACAGACCCAAAAUAAUACCAACGGCGUAAAGCACGACCAACUAAACAGUCCAACUAUUAAGAAAGAAGCUAAACCGGGCUGUAAAAAGCCAUAGGCCACACUAACUCACCCCUUAAUACAGAUACACCCCCACUCGUGAAAGCUAGGAUACAAACUAAGAUUAGAUACCUUACUAUGCCUAACCAUAACACAACAAUUAAACCACCAAUUGUUCGCCAAAUAACUACGAGUAAAAACUUAAAAUUUAAAAGACUUGACGGUAUCUCACAACAGCCUAGAGGAGCCUGUCCAAUAACCGAUACCCCACGAUUAACCCAACCCCCUCUAGCCUAACAGUCUAUAUACCGCCGUCGCCAGCCUACCUUAUGAAAGAAACAAAGUGAGCAAAAUAGUCAUUACUAACACGACAGGUCGAGGUGUAACUCAUGAAGGGGUUAAGAUGGGCUACAUUUUCUAACACAGAAAACACGAACAAACUAUGAAACAAGAAACCGAAGGCGGAUUUAGCAGUAUAAUAAGGACAAAACACUUAAUCGAAACUAACGCAAUGAGAUGCGUACACACCGCCCGUCAUCCCUGUUAAAUAACCAAUCACAUCCAUAAACACAACCACUUCCACAAAGCAGGGCAAGUCGUAACAUGGUAAGCGUACUGGAAAGUGCGCUUAGAAA
RNAcentral lists this non-coding RNA (925 nucleotides) under Gonyosoma frenatum. Lineage: Eukaryota; Metazoa; Chordata; Lepidosauria; Squamata; Colubridae. The record is from RNAcentral.